AUGAUACUUGUUGGAACUGUGGGACAGGUUAUUUCUGAACUUAUCAGCAACAGUGGUCAUGCUAUAAAUUGCUCUAGCCAUGUCCAGUUAACAAAAUUUCCUUGGAACCCUGGCAUUGUAGUAUGGCAUGAUAAUACUGAAGAGAUGAUUCCCGUAUCUCUUAUAGACCUGUUGGGCAUCACUUUCUCAUACCAAGAUUGUCUAGCUCAUGAAGAUCUCUUUCAUCUGAAGCAACGAGUGUUUGCUGAAUGUCCUUCUGAUCAAAUCUCAAUGGAGACACUUACUGUGAUACUAACAAUGGUUGCUUCUACAAGGCAUGGCACCAGUGAUAGUAAGUCUACUACAAGUAUGGUUUUCAGUUUUUUAUUCGCAAAAAAAAAAAGUAUGGUUUUCAGUUUGCAACCACUAUGGCCUCCACCCUUGCUUGUGAGCAUUUACAGAGCGCAGACUAUGCCACUUCCAAUUAUUCUGAGCAUGUGCAAUUCUAUCAUAAUUAUCAGUCAAGCAUUGCAGAAAUCAAACUUUUCAGCUCAGAAAAUUCUUGUAUUUGAACAAGAGCAUUCAUUUCUAAGGGCAUUUAUUAAUGACUGUUGGCCUCUUGAGAUGUCACAUAUGCAGGAGACCUCGUAUCACAAAACACCUUCCAGUUGCAAAGUUACAGGUCAAUUGGUGCGGUAA
This 678-nucleotide ribosomal RNA is filed under the name Triticum aestivum (bread wheat). Its description in RNAcentral is "partial small subunit ribosomal RNA". Lineage: Eukaryota; Viridiplantae; Streptophyta; Magnoliopsida; Poales; Poaceae. The record is from RNAcentral.